GACAGAGGAGGCGAGCGUUAUUCGGAAUCACUGGGCUUAAAGGGUGCGUAGGCGGCUCGGCAAGUUGGGUGUGAAAGCCCUCGGCUCAACCGAGGAAUUGCGCCCAAAACUGCCGGGCUAGAGGGAGACAGAGGUGAGCGGAACUUAGGGUGGAGCGGUGAAAUGCUUUGAUAUCCUAAGGAACACCGGUAGCGAAAGCGGCUCACUGGGUCUUUGCUGACGCUGAGGCACGAAAGCUAGGGGAGCGAACGGG
This 253-nucleotide ribosomal RNA is filed under the name uncultured bacterium. RNAcentral's name for it is "partial 16S ribosomal RNA". It matches the Rfam family "Bacterial small subunit ribosomal RNA", at positions 524 to 776 of the family's 1533-position model. The record is from RNAcentral.